RNAcentral lists this long non-coding RNA (358 nucleotides) under Mytilus galloprovincialis (Mediterranean mussel). Lineage: Eukaryota; Metazoa; Mollusca; Bivalvia; Mytilida; Mytilidae. The record is from RNAcentral.
UUCUUAUGUUGUACUGUUAUACCACUGUCCCAGGUUAGGGGGAGGGUUGGGAUCCCGCUAACAUGUUUAACCCCGCCACAUUAUUUAUGUAUGUGCCUGUCCCAAGUCAGGAGCCUGUAAUUCAGUGGUUGUCGUUUGUUUAUGUGUUACAUAUUUGUUUUUUCGUUCAUUUUUUUACAUAAAUAAGGCCGUUAGUUUUCUCGCUUGAAUUGUUUUACAUUGUCUUAUCGGGGCCUUUUAUAGCUGACUAUAAGCGGUAUGGGCUUUGCUCAUUGUUGAAGGCCGUACGGUGACCUAUAAUUGAUAAUGUUUGUGUCAUUUUGGUCUUUUGUGGAUAGUUGUCUCAUUGGCAGUCAUA